RNAcentral lists this ribosomal RNA (690 nucleotides) under uncultured Acidobacteriota bacterium. Its description in RNAcentral is "bacterial SSU rRNA". It matches the Rfam family "Bacterial small subunit ribosomal RNA", at positions 15 to 735 of the family's 1533-position model. Lineage: Bacteria; Pseudomonadati; Acidobacteriota. The record is from RNAcentral.
GAUCCUGGCUCAGAAUCAACGCUGGCGGCGUGCCUAACACAUGCAAGUCGCACGAGAAAGCGGGCUUCGGCCUGCAAGUACAGUGGCGCACGGGUGAGUAACACGUGAAUCAUCUACCUCCGAGUGGGGAAUAACCUAGGGAAACCUGGGCUAAUACCGCAUAACACUUACGAGUCAAAGCAGCAAUGCGCUUGGAGAGGAGUUCGCGGCAGAUUAGCUAGUUGGUGGGGUAAUGGCCCACCAAGGCGAUGAUCUGUAUCCGGCCUGAGAGGGCGCACGGACACACUGGAACUGGAACACGGUCCAGACUCCUACGGGAGGCAGCAGUGGGGAAUUUUGCGCAAUGGGGGAAACCCUGACGCAGCAACGCCGCGUGGAGGAUGAAAUCCCUUGGGAUGUAAACUCCUUUCGAUCGGGACGAUUAUGACGGUACCGGAAGAAGAAGCCCCGGCUAACUUCGUGCCAGCAGCCGCGGUAAUACGAGGGGGGCAAGCGUUGUUCGGAAUUAUUGGGCGUAAAGGGCGCGUAGGCGGUUUGACAAGUCUGAUGUGAAAUCUCUGGGCUCAACCCAGAGUCUGCACUAGAAACUGUCGGGCUUGAGUAUGGGAGAGGUGAGUGGAAUUUCCGGUGUAGCGGUGAAAUGCGUAGAUAUCGGAAGGAACACCUGUGGCGAAAGCGGCUCACUGGACC